RNAcentral lists this small nuclear RNA (23 nucleotides) under Arabidopsis thaliana (thale cress). RNAcentral describes it as "snRNA_12400". The record is from RNAcentral. Lineage: Eukaryota; Viridiplantae; Streptophyta; Magnoliopsida; Brassicales; Brassicaceae.
UUCAUAUCACAUGAUAUCUUUCC